UUGAUGAGUCUGGCCAUUAAAAAUCGGCGAUGCUUCCUUCUGCUACAUACAUUUGAAAAGAACUAUUAAACUCUUUUUACCCAUUUUCAAUGUGUCCAGAGUAUGAAAAGAGAUGGACUGCCAGAGAGAAAGAAUGAGAAGUAUUGUAUAUUACAAUUUUAUGGAGAGUUUUGUGUCAAAGCAAAAUUAAAAUAGAAGCCAACAUAAUUACCAAAUCUAUUUUCUGCCAGAGUUUGUUCAUGAGAACAUAUGGGAUUUUAUAUGUGAAUUUCAGAAACACAAAAACAACGGACUCAAAUCCUUAAAGCUUUUUGUGGAAUACAUUUGAUAAAAUAUAUUUCUUUUAUCAAGUGGAUCACAAUUGUUGAACAGUUUGUAGGGCUCCCAGCUUCUGGUGUAUUAAGCCUGAUACGAUUAUUGCGAGCUGAGGCAAGGGAAUACUUGGAAAAGCCUAUCACACGCAAGUUAGUGUACUUAUAACUUUUUGAUCUUCUGGCUGAGCAAUUCGGGUUCUCCAUUCAAUCCCCCAAUCCCCAAAUAACCGCACACAUGGUUCACAUAAUAAAAAUAUCGGCACUCAUAAAAUGGAAAUGCAAAGGCAUUCAUCACAUUUGCGCCAAAGUUUAGAAAUAUUAAACCGCUUAUGCGAGCCAGGCAGCUGCUGCCUGCGCAUUAAUUUCGACCUGGUGCAAACAUCUACGGCAUAAAUUACGCAUACGUCAUGUAAGCCGUGUGAGAAUAAACAACUUUACACCUGA
Molecule: long non-coding RNA, 758 nt
Organism: Drosophila montana
Lineage: Eukaryota; Metazoa; Arthropoda; Insecta; Diptera; Drosophilidae
Exons: 2
Source: RefSeq, a predicted model, not a curated record